CGCUGUCUCUGUAGAAGAACGGAAACCCAAGAUCAGACUGCAGAAAGAAACCAAUUUCGAAGCCUUUCAGCCAUGAGAGCUAAGUGGAAGAAGAAGCGUAUGAGAAGGUUGAAGAGGAAGAGAUGAGGCAAAGAUCUAAGUAGUCCUUUUAAUUUUUGUCUUCACGGCUAUUUGUUUGAUGAGCGCAUUUUGUUUUAAUGGUUGAAUGGUGUCUUUCAUUUUUCAUGGCUUAGUUUUCUUGUAUCUUUGUUGAACCAUUUUCAUUUUAUUGAUUAAUGUUGGAGCUUUUUUGCUUUAA
Long non-coding RNA from Hibiscus syriacus, 298 nucleotides. RefSeq lists it as uncharacterized. The record is from RefSeq and is a predicted model, not a curated record. Lineage: Eukaryota; Viridiplantae; Streptophyta; Magnoliopsida; Malvales; Malvaceae. The transcript is spliced from 2 exons.